ACACGACUACAUUAGAUACCCCCGUAGUCCAGGGUGUAAACGCUGCGGGCUUGGUGUUGGGGGUCCUUAGUGGGCGCCCAGUGCCGGAGAGAAGUUGUUAAGCCUGCUGCUUGGGAGUAUGUCCGCAAGGAUGAAACUUAAAGGAAUUGGCGGGGGAGCACAACAACGGGUGGAGCUUGCGGUUUAAUUGGAUUCAACGCCGGAAAUCUUACCGGGACCGACAGCAACAUGAAGGCCAAGCUGAAGACUUUGCCGGAUUAGCUG
Molecule: ribosomal RNA, 264 nt
Filed under: uncultured archaeon
Lineage: Archaea
Description: partial 16S ribosomal RNA
Rfam family: Archaeal small subunit ribosomal RNA
Source: RNAcentral